UACGUAGGGGGCAAGCGUUGUCCGGAAUCAUUGGGCGUAAGGAGCGCGUAGGCGGCCCUGUAAGUCCGCUGUGAAAGUCAAGGGCUCAACCCUUGGAUGCCGGUGGAUACUGCAGGGCUAGAGUCCGGAAGAGGCGAGUGGAAUUCCUGGUGUAGCGGUGAAAUGCGCAGAUAUCAGGAGGAACACCGAUGGCGAAGGCAGCUCGCUGGGACGGUACUGACGCUGAGGCGCGAAAGCGUGGGGAGCAAACAGG
RNAcentral lists this ribosomal RNA (253 nucleotides) under uncultured bacterium. Its description in RNAcentral is "partial 16S ribosomal RNA". It matches the Rfam family "Bacterial small subunit ribosomal RNA", at positions 524 to 776 of the family's 1533-position model. The record is from RNAcentral.